RNAcentral lists this ribosomal RNA (254 nucleotides) under uncultured bacterium. Its description in RNAcentral is "partial 16S ribosomal RNA". It matches the Rfam family "Bacterial small subunit ribosomal RNA", at positions 524 to 776 of the family's 1533-position model. The record is from RNAcentral.
UACGUAGGGGGCAAGCGUUGUCCGGAUUUAUUGGGCGUAAAGAGCGUGUAGGCGGCCCGACAAGUCCGCUGUGAAAGUCCAGGGCUCAACCCUGGAAUGCCGGUGGAUACUGUCGGGCUAGAGUCCGGAAGGGGCGAGUGGAAUUCCGUGGUGUAGCGGUGAAAUGCGCAGAUAUCAGGAGGAACACCAAUGGCGAAGGCAGCUCGCUGGGACGUGACUGACGCUGAGACGCGAAAGCGUGGGGAGCAAACAGG